This is a small nucleolar RNA of Ornithorhynchus anatinus (platypus), 138 nucleotides long. Lineage: Eukaryota; Metazoa; Chordata; Mammalia; Monotremata; Ornithorhynchidae. The record is from RefSeq and is a predicted model, not a curated record.
UACCUCUCGGGGUCGCACCUGGAGAGUGUCCAGUACGCUACCAGUCUUGGCUAUGGGAGGGAGAGUCAAGCGGAGGCCUGUCCAUUCCAUUCCUAGCUUGCCCAGUGGUUAGCGAGUGGCAGGCCAUCUGCUACGAGU